RNAcentral lists this transfer RNA (85 nucleotides) under Aquitalea magnusonii. RNAcentral describes it as "tRNA-Leu". It matches the Rfam family "tRNA". Rfam says of the family: Transfer RNA (tRNA) molecules are approximately 80 nucleotides in length. Their secondary structure includes four short double-helical elements and three loops (D, anti-codon, and T loops). Further hydrogen bonds mediate the characteristic L-shaped molecular structure. tRNAs have two regions of fundamental functional importance: the anti-codon, which is responsible for specific mRNA codon recognition, and the 3' end, to which the tRNAs corresponding amino acid is attached (by aminoacyl-tRNA synthetases). tRNAs cope with the degeneracy of the genetic code in two manners: having more than one tRNA (with a specific anti-codon) for a particular amino acid; and 'wobble' base-pairing, i.e. permitting non-standard base-pairing at the 3rd anti-codon position. RNAcentral also lists the same sequence under 7 other names. The record is from RNAcentral. Lineage: Bacteria; Pseudomonadati; Pseudomonadota; Betaproteobacteria; Neisseriales; Chromobacteriaceae.
GCGCCCAUGGCGAAAUUGGUAGACGCAAGGGACUUAAAAUCCCUCGACUUCGGUUGUGCCGGUUCGACCCCGGCUGGGCGCACCA